RNAcentral lists this long non-coding RNA (416 nucleotides) under Mus caroli (Ryukyu mouse). RNAcentral's name for it is "predicted gene 11209 (MGP_CAROLIEiJ_G0003512.1)". Lineage: Eukaryota; Metazoa; Chordata; Mammalia; Rodentia; Muridae. The record is from RNAcentral.
UCAUCAAGCAAGUGGGGGAGGUCUCUGGUGGGAAGGGAGAGCACUGUAAUAUGGAAGAGGUGGGACAGCGUCCGUCCGUGUGGACAGCUACUGGCUAUUCCUCGAGAGGAGUCAAAACACAGACAUGGUUCGGGACCAACCAUACAGGCAACUCUAGAGCUUCGUGGGAGAGGACUGAAGAGCUAGCGCCCGGACCGAAUGCACAUGCCCAAGUAGGUGACACAUCUUCCAGGGUCCCUUCCUCAGUGGCUUGGCUUCAAAACUAUACCAACAACCAGAGUCCUUCUCCUCAGCCGUUCUGCCCAAGUUCCACCAAGUUUCUGUUGCCUGACAGGCCCUGGGUCUGAGGUUGGGCCUACAGAAAUACGCUGAGCCCGGCCCAGCCCCGCCCCUAAUAAAAUCACCAUUUAGCAGUG